RNAcentral lists this ribosomal RNA (890 nucleotides) under Streptomyces sp. RNAcentral's name for it is "bacterial SSU rRNA". It matches the Rfam family "Bacterial small subunit ribosomal RNA", at positions 8 to 916 of the family's 1533-position model. The record is from RNAcentral. Lineage: Bacteria; Bacillati; Actinomycetota; Actinomycetes; Kitasatosporales; Streptomycetaceae.
AGAGUUUGAUCCUGGCUCAGACGAACGCUGGCGGCGUGCUUAACACAUGCAAGUCGAACGAUGAACCAUUUCGGUGGGGAUUAGUGGCGAACGGGUGAGUAACACGUGGGCAAUCUGCCCUGCACUCUGGGACAAGCCCUGGAAACGGGGUCUAAUACCGGAUAAUACCUACUCUCGCAUGGGGGUGGGUUCAAAGCUCCGGCGGUGCAGGAUGAGCCCGCGGCCUAUCAGCUUGUUGGUGAGGUAGUGGCUCACCAAGGCGACGACGGGUAGCCGGCCUGAGAGGGCGACCGGCCACACUGGGACUGAGACACGGCCCAGACUCCUACGGGAGGCAGCAGUGGGGAAUAUUGCACAAUGGGCGAAAGCCUGAUGCAGCGACGCCGCGUGAGGGAUGACGGCCUUCGGGUUGUAAACCUCUUUCAGCAGGGAAGAAGCGCAAGUGACGGUACCUGCAGAAGAAGCGCCGGCUAACUACGUGCCAGCAGCCGCGGUAAUACGUAGGGCGCAAGCGUUGUCCGGAAUUAUUGGGCGUAAAGAGCUCGUAGGCGGUCUGUCGCGUCGGAUGUGAAAGCCCGGGGCUUAACCCCGGGUCUGCAUUCGAUACGGGCAGACUAGAGUGUGGUAGGGGAGAUCGGAAUUCCUGGUGUAGCGGUGAAAUGCGCAGAUAUCAGGAGGAACACCGGUGGCGAAGGCGGAUCUCUGGGCCAUUACUGACGCUGAGGAGCGAAAGCGUGGGGAGCGAACAGGAUUAGAUACCCUGGUAGUCCACGCCGUAAACGGUGGGAACUAGGUGUUGGCGACAUUCCACGUCGUCGGUGCCGCAGCUAACGCAUUAAGUCCCCGCCUGGGGAGUACGGCCGCAAGGCUAAAACUCAAGGAAUUGACGG